CCUACGGGAGGCUGCAGUGGGGAAUAUUGCGCAAUGGGGGAAACCCUGACGCAGCAAUACCGCGUGAAUGAAGAAGGUCUUCGGAUCGUAAAGUUCUGUUAUUGGGGAAGAACAAAGACGGUACCCAAGGAGAAAGUCCCGGCUAACUACGUGCCAGCAGCCGCGGUAAUACGUAGGGGACAAGCGUUGUCCGGAUUUACUGGGCGUAAAGGGCACGCAGGCGGUUUUUUAAGUCAGAUGUGAAAGGUCCCGGCUCAACCGGGGAACGGCAUUUGAAACUGGAGAACUUGAGUAUUGGAGAGGCAAGUGGAAUUCCUAGUGUAGCGGUGAAAUGCGUAGAGAUUAGGAGGAACACCAGUGGCGAAGGCGGCUUGCUGGACAAAUACUGACGCUGAGGUGCGAAAGCGUGGGGAGCAAACAGGAUUAGAUACCCCGGUAGUC
RNAcentral lists this ribosomal RNA (441 nucleotides) under uncultured Acetobacterium sp. RNAcentral describes it as "bacterial SSU rRNA". It matches the Rfam family "Bacterial small subunit ribosomal RNA", at positions 338 to 795 of the family's 1533-position model. Lineage: Bacteria; Bacillati; Bacillota; Clostridia; Eubacteriales; Eubacteriaceae. The record is from RNAcentral.